This 1315-nucleotide ribosomal RNA is filed under the name Oenococcus oeni. RNAcentral describes it as "bacterial LSU rRNA". It matches the Rfam family "Bacterial large subunit ribosomal RNA", at positions 384 to 1715 of the family's 2925-position model. Lineage: Bacteria; Bacillati; Bacillota; Bacilli; Lactobacillales; Lactobacillaceae. The record is from RNAcentral.
AUCUUGUACUCUCUAAUCAGGAUCCUGAGUACGGCCCAGCACGUGAAAUUGGGUCGGAAUCUGGGAGGACCAUCUCCCAAGGCUAAAUACUAACUAGUGACCGAUAGCGAACAAGUACCGUGAGGGAAAGGUGAAAAGAACCCCGGAAGGGGAGUGAAAUAGUUCUUGAAACCGUGUGCUUACAAGAAGUUCGAGGCCGUUAAUGGCUGAGAGCGUGCUUUUUGUAGAAUGAACCGGAGAGUUACGAUUGCGUGCAAGGUUAAGGUGCAAAGACUGGAGCCGUAGCGAAAGCGAGUCUUAAUAGGGCGAAUCAGUACGUAGUUGUAGACCCGAAACCGAGUGACCUAUCCAUGGUCAGGUUGAAGGUGGGGUAAUACCUACUGGAGGACCGAACAAGUGGGUGUUAAAAAACCCUUUGAUGAACUGUGGAUAGCGGUGAAAUUCCAAUCGAACUCGGAGAUAGCUGGUUCUAUCCGAAAUACAUUUAGGUGUAGCCUUGCAAUUAGCUUACUGGAGGUAGAGCACUAUUUGGUCUAGGGGCCCUUCAAGGGUUACCAAAAUCAGAUAAACUCCGAAUGCCAGCUAAGUAUGUGCAGGAGUCAGACGGUGAGUGAUAAGAUCCAUCGUCAAAAGGGGAACAGCCCAGAUCACCAGUUAAGGUCCCUAAAUAUAUGCUAAGUGGAAAACGUUGUGAAGGUGCAUAGACAACUAGGAGGUUGGCUCAGAAGCAGCCACCCUUUAAAGAGUGCGUAAUAGCUCACUAGUCAAGUGCUCUUGCGCGGAUAAUGUACCGGGGCUAAGCAUAUUACCGAAACUGUGGAUGCGUAAGCAUGGUAGGAUAGCGUAAUUAACGCGAUGAAGGAUGACCGUAAGGACAUGUUGGAGCGUUAACUAGUGAGAAUUCCGGUAUGAGUAGCGAAAGAUAGGUGAGAAUCCUAUCCACCGAAUGAGUAAGGUUUCCCCCGGAAGGCUCGUCCGCGGGGGGUUAGUCGGGACCUAAGGCGAGGCUGAAAAGCGUAGUCGAUGGACAACAGGUUGAUAUUCCUGUACCGAUAUUUAAUUGCCGAAGGAAGGACGCAGAAGGAUAACACAGGCCACUAUUGGAUGUGGUUUUAAACAGUUAGUCUUCAUAAGAGUCAAAUGCUUUUAUGUUUAAGGAUAAGCUGUGAAUGUACCAAGUUUACUUGGAAAUUGUGUGAUUUCACGCUGCUGAAAAAAGUUUCGUAGGAAGAAAAUAUUGCCCGUACCGCAAACCGACACAGGUACUCAAGUGGAGAACACUAAGGUGAGCGAGUGAACUAUUGUUAAGGAACUC